Long non-coding RNA from Glossina fuscipes, 975 nucleotides. RefSeq lists it as uncharacterized. The transcript has 2 exons. The record is from RefSeq and is a predicted model, not a curated record. Lineage: Eukaryota; Metazoa; Arthropoda; Insecta; Diptera; Glossinidae.
UGUUUUAAUGCGAUUGGAAAUCUUUUGAAACCAACAUAAAUACUUUCUACAGGCAUCUGCUAUUGUAUUAGGGAAAAUAUAGAUCAAUAGCUUAGACAUGGCUUCCCAGCAUAAUUUCAAUUGACACAAAGGUAGUCAUUGCAGAGGUUUCGGCGAGACUUCGAAAUUUCAAAGAAAAAAAAUUUUUUUUUUUUUAACAAAAAAGUUUUUUGAAGGUGCAAACCAUAUAUUAGCCAAAAAAAUUUCUGGUUUUCUGUUUAACUGUUCUGACGAGAGAAAAUUGUUGAUUUCCUUCCUAUGUGUUGUAUGUCAUGAUACUUGACGUGUGACCUUUUGAAGCCAUUGAAGCUAUGAAGCUAUGAUAUCACUUAUGGUAAGUGAUACGUGUGGUACGUUAAGCUUGUGCGGAUAUAUGAAGCAUUCAGAAGGGCUCCAAGUAUUAUUAUUAAUUUAGCUUAAGACUAUCGUCUCCAAGCACUAACGUCCGAGGCUAACGAGUUUAUCAAGGACUCUACCACACAUGAGGUCCUACUUUGCCACUUAGACGUAGGGAGUCCUAUUUUUUAUUAUCAAUCUAAGCCUGUCUGUCUGUCCAUCAGUUUGUCUUGUUUGUUUCGUUUGCUUGUCUUGAACCUACAGGUCAUAAUAACAUUUGGCAUACCAAGGAACGUUAUUGAAAAUCGUUGACUUCGGUCUACUUUUUCGUCUCCUUUCAAUGUAAUUUAUUGUUAUUUUGAAAAGUCAUUAUAUGAAUAACAACAUUAACCGAAGAAAUGGUUCGAUCUUACGUUGACAAGUUUGUUACAUGAUUAACUGUAGAGUGACGUGUAGUGUAUUUAAUGACCGGCCGGUGUCGCAUUAUAAUUUUCUUACUUGUUUCCAACUGGCAAUGAAAGAAUGUUUCCGCUUAUUGCUUCCUUGGUCGUUAAAUAUCUGACUUAAUACAACCGACUCAGAAUAUAGGAAAAAAAAAAA